This 418-nucleotide ribosomal RNA is filed under the name Schyzocotyle acheilognathi. RNAcentral describes it as "SSU rRNA". It matches the Rfam family "Eukaryotic small subunit ribosomal RNA", at positions 588 to 867 of the family's 1831-position model. The record is from RNAcentral. Lineage: Eukaryota; Metazoa; Platyhelminthes; Cestoda; Bothriocephalidea; Bothriocephalidae.
GCUCCAAUAGCGUAUAUUAAAGUUGCUGCAGUUAAAAAGCUCGUAGUUGGAUCUCGGUAUUAUUGUUGCCUGCUGGCUUUAGAGGCACUAGCUGGCCUAGCGGUGCAUGGGUGAGCCUGUGCAGCGUGGGGUCGGCGGCCUUGGGUCGGCGUGGCGGCGGUGAUACCUUUCAGCCAUGUCUGUGGUGCAAUAUCCACAGGUGUAGGCGAGUGCCAGGCGGUGCCCUGCAACUGUGGGGUUCGUCGGCUUGUCUGCAUGCCUACGGAUGCCCUUUAAAAGGUGUCUGUGGGCGGAUGGCACGUUUACUUUGAACAAAUUUGAGUGCUCAAACCAGGCCGAUGCUGCCUGAAAAGUUUUGCAUGGAAUAAUGGAAUAGGACUUCGGUUCUAUUUCGUUGGUUUUCGGAUCCGAAGUAAUG